AUGUCUUCGGAAGAGGUAACAGGUAUCGAACUGAAUUUGCUAGAAAAAGUUACAAACCAAUUUUCCGAGGAGCUCAAAAUUGGAAGUGGUGGCUUUGGGGAAGUGUACAGGGGUGUGCUUAAUGGGUGUGAAAUUGCUGUGAAGAAGCUUUAUCUCACCAAUAGAUCAAUAGAUGAUAAGAGUUUUACAAAUGAAUUUCGCCAACUUAUGAAGGUCCAACAUGAAAACAUUAUACGGCUGAUUGGCUACUGCUAUGAGAUAAGACAUAAGCAUACUAUAGACAACGGGCAACUUGUCUUUUCUCAAGUUAUAGAUCGAGCUCUCUGUUUCGAAUACAUGCCGGAAGGAAGUCUUGCCAAGCAUAUUUCUGAUGAAUCUUGCAAACAUGACUGGUCCACAACAUUCAAAAUAAUUAAAGGGACCUGCGAGGGCCUACACUACCUUCAUAGAGGAACAGGAGACGGCAAACAUAUUUACCAUCUGGACUUAAAACCGGACAACAUAUUGUUGGAUAAAGAUAUGGUCCCCAAAAUCGCAGACUUUGGUUUGUCCAGACUCUUUGGUGAAUCAAAGACCCACAUAACAAACACCCGUAUGGAGGGAACAUUAGGAUUCAUGGCACCAGAAUAUAUACAUGAGUGUGCGAUAUCACCAAAGAAUGAUGUGUUCAGUCUCGGCGUUAUAAUUUUCUACCUACUGGCCGGACAGAAGGGCUACAACGAUUAUUGUGAGUCGCGGUCCUCUCCAGGGCAACAAUUCAUUGACAGAGUACAAGAAUACUGGAAAAAAAGGAUGCGUGCAUCGGUGGGCUACACAUGGGACAAAAUCGAUCUCCUGGCGGUGAAGAUAUGCACUGAAAUUGCAAUGAGCUGUGUGGAGAAAGAGCGUAGGGACAGGCCUUCUACAAACAAGAUUAUUGAUGAACUCCACCAACUAGACGCUCAAAUGCAGAUGUCAAAGAAAGAUUCCGAGUCAGUUACAGGCCUGGGAAAAUCCGACGUAAGAUAUAUUGCGCUUGAUCCAUCACUGGAGCUGCGCUUCCCGUUCAAACCAAAUAUGGACAUGCCAUGCUGCCUGCAGCUAACCAACAUGACAGAAAAUUCCAUUGCCUUCAGUGUGAAGACAAACAAAAGGAAGUAUAGCCCACAACCAAGCAAAGGAAUCAUACCACCAUGUUCCAAGUCAUACAUCAUUGUAACGUUGCGAGCACAGGAAGAGGCACCACCGAACAUGCAGUGCCUCGACACGUUAAUUGUGCAGAGCACAAGGGUGAGCGAGGAUUUCACAUCCCAAGAGAUCACUCAACACUUCCUUGAGGAAGCAGAGGUGGAUGAGGUGAUAUUGCCAAUUGCUUAUGUUGCAUUCGAAAAAUCUGACCUCGAUGUAUCUAAAUAG
This 1395-nucleotide ribosomal RNA is filed under the name Triticum aestivum (bread wheat). RNAcentral describes it as "partial small subunit ribosomal RNA". The record is from RNAcentral. Lineage: Eukaryota; Viridiplantae; Streptophyta; Magnoliopsida; Poales; Poaceae.